UGAGGAAUAUUGGUCAAUGGACGAGAGUCUGAACCAGCCAAGUAGCGUGAAGGAUGACUGCCCUAUGGGUUGUAAACUUCUUUUAUACGGGAAUAAAGUGAGCCACGUGUGGCUUUUUGUAUGUACCGUAUGAAUAAGGAUCGGCUAACUCCGUGCCAGCAGCCGCGGUAAUACGGAGGAUCCGAGCGUUAUCCGGAUUUAUUGGGUUUAAAGGGAGCGUAGGCGGGUUGUUAAGUCAGUUGUGAAAGUUUGCGGCUCAACCGUAAAAUUGCAGUUGAUACUGGCGACCUUGAGUGCAACAGAGGUAGGCGGAAUUCGUGGUGUAGCGGUGAAAUGCUUAGAUAUCACGAAGAACUCCGAUUGCGAAGGCAGCUUACUGGAUUGUAACUGACGCUGAUGCUCGAAAGUGUGGGUAUCAAACA
This 422-nucleotide ribosomal RNA is filed under the name uncultured bacterium. RNAcentral's name for it is "bacterial SSU rRNA". It matches the Rfam family "Bacterial small subunit ribosomal RNA", at positions 355 to 774 of the family's 1533-position model. RNAcentral also lists the same sequence under 1 other name. The record is from RNAcentral.